Molecule: ribosomal RNA, 408 nt
Filed under: uncultured microorganism
Description: bacterial SSU rRNA
Rfam family: Bacterial small subunit ribosomal RNA
Source: RNAcentral
GAGUUUGAUCGUGGCUCAGAUUGAACGCUGGCGGCAUGCCUUACACAUGCAAGUCGAACGGCAGCAUGAUCUAGCUUGCUAGAUUGAUGGCGAGUGGCGAACGGGUGAGUAAUACAUCGGAACGUGCCCUGUAGUGGGGAUAACUAGUCGAAAGAUUAGCUAAUACCGCAUACGACCUGAGGGUGAAAGUGGGGGACCGCAAGGCCUCAUGCUAUAGGAGCGGCCGAUGUCUGAUUAGCUAGUUGGUGGGGUAGAGGCCCACCAAGGCGACGAUCAGUAGCUGGUCUGAGAGGACGAUCAGCCACACUGGGACUGAGACACGGCCCAGACUCCUACGGGAGGCAGCAGUGGGAAUUUUGGACAAUGGGGCAACCCUGAUCCAGCAAUGCCGCGUGUGUGAAGAAGGCC